Molecule: ribosomal RNA, 410 nt
Filed under: uncultured microorganism
Description: bacterial SSU rRNA
Rfam family: Bacterial small subunit ribosomal RNA
Source: RNAcentral
CAGCCGCCGCGGUAAUACGUAGGGUGCGAGCGUUAAUCGGAUUUACUGGGCGUAAAGCGUGCGCAGGCGGCCCGUUAAGACAGGUGUGAAAUCCCUGGGCUCAACCUAGGAAUUGCGCUUGUGACUGGCGGGCUCGAGUACGGUAGAGGGGGGUGGAAUUCCUGGUGUAGCAGUGAAAUGCGUAGAGACCAGGAGGAACACCGAUGGCGAAGGCAGCCCCCUGGGCCUGUACUGACGCUCAUGCACGAAAGCGUGGGGAGCAAACAGGAUUAGAUACCCUGGUAGUCCACGCCCUAAACGAUGGGUACUGGCCGUUUGGUGCGCGAUAGCGCUGAGUGGCGAAGCUAACGCGUGAAGUACCCCGCCUGGGGAGUACGGCCGCAAGGUUGAAACUUAAAGGAAUUGGCGGG